GGUUGCCGCAAGGCCUCCUGGGUAACCUACCACCCUUUGUUUAUUACACUUUGUUGCUUUGGCAAGCCUGCCCUCGGGCUGCUGGCUCCGGCCGGCGAGCGCUUGCCAGAGGACCUAAACUCUGUUUGUCUAUACUGUCUGAGUACUAUAUAAUAGUUAAAACUUUCAACAACGGAUCUCUUGGUUCUGGCAUCGAUGAAGAACGCAGCGAAAUGCGAUAAGUAAUGUGAAUUGCAGAAUUCAGUGAAUCAUCGAAUCUUUGAACGCACAUUGCGCCCCCUGGUAUUCCGGGGGGCAUGCCUGUCCGAGCGUCAUUACAACCCUCAAGCUCAGCUUGGUAUUGGGCCCCGCCGACCCGGCGGGCCCUAAAGUCAGUGGCGGUGCCGUCCGGCUCCGAGCGUAGUAAUUCUUCUCGCUCUGGAGGUCCGGUCGUGUGCUCGCCAGCAACCCCCAAUUUUUUUCAGGUUGACCUCGGAUCAGGUAGGGAUACCCGCUGAACUUAAGCAUAUCAAUAAGGCGGAGGAA
Molecule: ribosomal RNA, 525 nt
Filed under: Geomyces sp. AR-2009a
Lineage: Eukaryota; Fungi; Ascomycota; Leotiomycetes; Thelebolales; Pseudeurotiaceae
Description: eukaryotic LSU rRNA
Rfam family: 5.8S ribosomal RNA (bases 161-314)
Source: RNAcentral